This 465-nucleotide ribosomal RNA is filed under the name uncultured Weissella sp. RNAcentral's name for it is "bacterial SSU rRNA". It matches the Rfam family "Bacterial small subunit ribosomal RNA", at positions 338 to 795 of the family's 1533-position model. Lineage: Bacteria; Bacillati; Bacillota; Bacilli; Lactobacillales; Lactobacillaceae. The record is from RNAcentral.
CCUACGGGGGGCUGCAGUAGGGAAUCUUCCACAAUGGACGAAAGUCUGAUGGAGCAACGCCGCGUGAGUGAUGAAGGGUUUCGGCUCGUAAAACACUGUUGUAAGAGAAGAAUGACAUUGAGAGUAACUGUUCAGUGUGUGACGGUAUCUUACCAGAAAGGAACGGCUAAAUACGUGCCAGCAGCCGCGGUAAUACGUAUGUUCCAAGCGUUAUCCGGAUUUAUUGGGCGUAAAGCGAGGGCAGACGGUUGUGUAAGUCCGAAGUGGGAGCCCAAUGCUUAACUGUGGAAGUGCUUUGGAAACUAGAUAACUUGAGUGCAGUAGAGGCGAGUGGAACUCCAUGUGUAGUGGUGAAGUGCGUAGAUAUAUUGAAGAACACCGGUGGCGAAGGCGGCUCUCUGGUCUGUAACUGACGUUGAGGCUCGAAAGUGUGGGAAGCAAACAGGAUUAGAUCCCCGUGUAGUC